CAGUACCUCAAGUGGUCAGGAUGAUUAUUGGGCCUAAAGCAUCCGUAGCCGGCGCUGUAAGUUUUCGGUUAAAUCUGUACGCUCAACGUACAGGCUGCCGGGAAUACUGCAGCGCUAGGGAGUGGGAGAGGUAGACGGUACUCGGUAGGAAGGGGUAAAAUCCUUUGAUCUAUUGAUGACCACCUGUGGCGAAGGCGGUCUACCAGAACACGUCCGACGGUGAGGGAUGAAAGCUGGGGGAGCAAACCGGAUUAGAUACCCGUGUAGUCC
This 270-nucleotide ribosomal RNA is filed under the name uncultured archaeon. RNAcentral's name for it is "partial 16S ribosomal RNA". It matches the Rfam family "Archaeal small subunit ribosomal RNA", at positions 477 to 747 of the family's 1478-position model. The record is from RNAcentral.